RNAcentral lists this ribosomal RNA (421 nucleotides) under uncultured bacterium. Its description in RNAcentral is "bacterial SSU rRNA". It matches the Rfam family "Bacterial small subunit ribosomal RNA", at positions 357 to 770 of the family's 1533-position model. The record is from RNAcentral.
GGGAAUCUUCCACAAUGGGCGAAAGCCUGAUGGAGCAACGCCGCGUGGGUGAAGAAGGUUUUCGGAUCGUAAAACUCUGUUGUUAGAGAAGAACAAGGACGUUAGUAACUGAACGUCCCCUGACGGUAUCUAACCAGAAAGCCACGGCUAACUACGUGCCAGCAGCCGCGGUAAUACGUAGGUGGCAAGCGUUAUCCGGAAUUAUUGGGCGUAAAGAGCGCGCAGGUGGUUAAUUAAGUCUGAUGUGAAAGCCCACGGCUUAACCGUGGAGGGUCAUUGGAAACUGGUUGACUUGAGUGCAGAAGAGGAGAGUGGAACUCCAUGUGUAGCGGUGAAAUGCGUAGAUAUAUGGAAGAACACCAGUGGCGAAAGCGGCUCUCUGGUCUGUAACUGACGCUGAGGUUCGAAAGCGUGGGUAGCA